GACUGUGCUGAAUUUUAAGAGACCUGAAUCUGGCUGAGGAUGAACAAGCAGCUGUAACCUUCAAACUUUCUUCUCGAGAAUUCUACCGAAGUUCAACACAGAAAAACCUAUGUUUAAGGUAGUCUGCAUUGAAGUGGUGGCUCUUGUUUCGAGAAUGCUUCAGACUGGCCCUGUGGACACAGUGGCCCAUGAAGUGGAACCCUCUGAAAUGCAGUACAGUUAUUGGAAGCAAAUAUGAGUAUGAGGAUCCAAUGGCACAGAAACACCUGAAGACAAAGUGCUUUGUGGAUAUAUAUCAGGUAAUACAGUACUUCCAAGAGGUGUUUGUGCUCCAGUUGAACUCCCUCUUUGGAAUGCUGCUCAGGCAGCUGGUGUAUCCUGCCACUGCAGCCAUGGUCAUCCAUCAAACUCAAGGAAAAGGCCUCUGA
Molecule: long non-coding RNA, 428 nt
Filed under: Cyanistes caeruleus (blue tit)
Lineage: Eukaryota; Metazoa; Chordata; Aves; Passeriformes; Paridae
Description: lncRNA (ENSCCEG00000024167.1)
Source: RNAcentral